UCCUGGCUCAGGACGAACGCUGGCGGCGUGCUUAACACAUGCAAGUCGAACGAUGAAGCCUUUCGGGGUGGAUUAGUGGCGAACGGGUGAGUAACACGUGGGCAAUCUGCCCUUCACUCUGGGACAAGCCCUGGAAACGGGGUCUAAUACCGGAUAACACUCUGUCCCGCAUGGGACGGGGUUAAAAGCUCCGGCGGUGAAGGAUGAGCCCGCGGCCUAUCAGCUUGUUGGUGGGGUAAUGGCCUACCAAGGCGACGACGGGUAGCCGGCCUGAGAGGGCGACCGGCCACACUGGGACUGAGACACGGCCCAGACUCCUACGGGAGGCAGCAGUGGGGAAUAUUGCACAAUGGGCGAAAGCCUGAUGCAGCGACGCCGCGUGAGGGAUGACGGCCUUCGGGUUGUAAACCUCUUUCAGCAGGGAAGAAGCGAAAGUGACGGUACCUGCAGAAGAAGCGCCGGCUAACUACGUGCCAGCAGCCGCGGUAAUACGUAGGGCGCAAGCGUUGUCCGGAAUUAUUGGGCGUAAAGAGCUCGUAGGCGGCUUGUCACGUCGGAUGUGAAAGCCCGGGGCUUAACCCCGGGUCUGCAUUCGAUACGGGCUAGCUAGAGUGUGGUAGGGGAGAUCGGAAUUCCUGGUGUAGCGGUGAAAUGCGCAGAUAUC
This 664-nucleotide ribosomal RNA is filed under the name Streptomyces cyaneofuscatus. Its description in RNAcentral is "bacterial SSU rRNA". It matches the Rfam family "Bacterial small subunit ribosomal RNA", at positions 17 to 698 of the family's 1533-position model. The record is from RNAcentral. Lineage: Bacteria; Bacillati; Actinomycetota; Actinomycetes; Kitasatosporales; Streptomycetaceae.